RNAcentral lists this ribosomal RNA (1404 nucleotides) under bacterium NLAE-zl-P299. RNAcentral describes it as "16S ribosomal RNA". It matches the Rfam family "Bacterial small subunit ribosomal RNA". The record is from RNAcentral.
AGUCGAGGGGCAGCAUUUCAGUUUGCUUGCAAACUGGAGAUGGCGACCGGCGCACGGGUGAGUAACACGUAUCCAACCUGCCGAUAACUCGGGGAUAGCCUUUCGAAAGAAAGAUUAAUACCCGAUGGNAUAAUCAGACCGCAUGGUCUNAUUAUUAAAGAAUUUCGGUUAUCGAUGGGGAUGCGUUCCAUUAGGCAGUUGGUGAGGUAACGGCUCACCAAACCUUCGAUGGAUAGGGGUUCUGAGAGGAAGGUCCCCCACAUUGGAACUGAGACACGGUCCAAACUCCUACGGGAGGCAGCAGUGAGGAAUAUUGGUCAAUGGGCGCAGGCCUGAACCAGCCAAGUAGCGUGAAGGAUGACUGCCCUAUGGGUUGUAAACUUCUUUUAUAUGGGAAUAAAGUUUUCCACGUGUGGAAUUUUGUAUGUACCAUAUGAAUAAGGAUCGGCUAACUCCGUGCCAGCAGCCGCGGUAAUACGGAGGAUCCGAGCGUUAUCCGGAUUUAUUGGGUUUAAAGGGAGCGUAGGUGGACAGUUAAGUCAGUUGUGAAAGNUUUGCGGCUCAACCGGAAAAAUUUGCAGUUGAUACUGGCUGUCUUGAGUACAGUUAGAGGUGGGCGGAAUUUCGUGGUGUAGCGGUGAAAAUGCUUAGAUAUCACGAAGAACUCCGAUUGCGAAGGCAGCUCACUGGACUGCAACUGACACUGAUGCUCGAAAGUGUGGGUAUCAAACAGGAUUAGAUACCCUGGGUAGUCCACACAGUAAACGAUGAAUACUCGCUGUUUGCGAUAUACAGUAAGCGGCCAAGCGAAAGCAUUAAGUAUUCCACCUGGGGAGUACGCCGGCAACGGUGAAACUCAAAGGAAUUGACGGGGGCCCGCACAAGCGGAGGAACAUGUGGUUUAAUUCGAUGAUACGCGAGGAACCUUACCCGGGCUUAAAUUGCAUUUGAAUANUUUGGAAACAGNNUAGCCGCAAGGCAAAUGUGAAGGUGCUGCAUGGUUGUCGUCAGCUCGUGCCGUGAGGUGUCGGCUUAAGUGCCAUAACGAGCGCAACCCUUAUCUUUAGUUACUAACAGGUCAUGCUGAGGACUCUAGAGAGACUGCCGUCGUAAGAUGUGAGGAAGGUGGGGAUGACGUCAAAUCAGCACGGCCCUUACGUCCGGGGCUACACACGUGUUACAAUGGGGGGUACAGAAGGCAGCUACCUGGUGACAGGAUGCUAAUCCCAAAAGCCUCUCUCAGUUCGGAUCGAAGUCUGCAACCCGACUUCGUGAAGCUGGAUUCGCUAGUAAUCGCGCAUCAGCCAUGGCGCGGUGAAUACGUUCCCGGGCCUUGUACACACCGCCCGUCAAGCCAUGAAAGCCGGGGGUACCUGAAGUACGUAACCGCAAGGAGCUCCUAGG